RNAcentral lists this ribosomal RNA (600 nucleotides) under uncultured Actinomycetes bacterium. RNAcentral's name for it is "bacterial SSU rRNA". It matches the Rfam family "Bacterial small subunit ribosomal RNA", at positions 252 to 866 of the family's 1533-position model. Lineage: Bacteria; Bacillati; Actinomycetota; Actinomycetes. The record is from RNAcentral.
GUGGGGUGAUGGCCUACCAAGGCGACGACGGGUAGCCGGCCUGAGAGGGCGACCGGCCACACUGGGACUGAGACACGGCCCAGACUCCUACGGGAGGCAGCAGUGGGGAAUAUUGCACAAUGGGCGAAAGCCUGAUGCAGCGACGCCGCGUGAGGGAUGAAUGCCUUCGGGUUGUAAACCUCUUUCAGCAGGGACGAUUGUGACGGUACCUGCAGAAGAAGCCCCGGCCAACUACGUGCCGGCAGCCGCGGUAAUACGUAGGGGGCGAGCGUUGUCCGGAAUCAUUGGGCGUAAAGAGCUCGUAGGCGGUUUGGUAAGUCGGGUGUGAAACCUCCAGGCUCAACCUGGAGAUGCCACUCGAUACUGCCAUGACUAGAGUCCGGUAGGGGUCCACGGAAUUCCUGGUGUAGCGGUGAAAUGCGCAGAUAUCAGGAGGAACACCGGUGGCGAAGGCGGUGGGCUGGGCCGGAACUGACGCUGAGGAGCGAAAGCGUGGGGAGCGAACAGGAUUAGAUACCCUGGUAGUCCACGCCGUAAACGUUGGGCACUAGGUGUGGGACCUUAUCAACGGGUUCCGUGCCGUAGCUAACGCAUUAAGUG